This 1372-nucleotide ribosomal RNA is filed under the name uncultured bacterium. RNAcentral's name for it is "bacterial SSU rRNA". It matches the Rfam family "Bacterial small subunit ribosomal RNA", at positions 28 to 1381 of the family's 1533-position model. The record is from RNAcentral.
GAUGAACGCUGGCGGCGUGCCUAAUACAUGCAAGUCGAGCGAACGGACGAGAAGCUUGCUUCUCUGAUGUUAGCGGCGGACGGGUGAGUAACACGUGGAUAACCUACCUAUAAGACUGGGAUAACUUCGGGAAACCGGAGCUAAUACCGGAUGAUAUUUUGAACCGCAUGGUUCAAAAGUGAAAGACGGUCUUGCUGUCACUUAUAGAUGGAUCCGCGCUGCAUUAGCUAGUUGGUAAGGUAACGGCUUACCAAGGCAACGAUGCAUAGCCGACCUGAGAGGGUGAUCGGCCACACUGGAACUGAGACACGGUCCAGACUCCUACGGGAGGCAGCAGUAGGGAAUCUUCCGCAAUGGGCGAAAGCCUGACGGAGCAACGCCGCGUGAGUGAUGAAGGUCUUCGGAUCGUAAAACUCUGUUAUUAGGGAAGAACAUAUGUGUAAGUAACUGUGCACAUCUCGACGGUACCUAAUCAGAAAGCCACGGCUAACUACGUGCCAGCAGCCGCGGUAAUACGUAGGUGGCAAGCGUUAUCCGGAAUUAUUGGGCGUAAAGCGCGCGUAGGCGGUUUUUUAAGUCUGAUGUGAAAGCCCACGGCUCAACCGUGGAGGGUCAUUGGAAACUGGAAAACUUGAGUGCAGAAGAGGAAAGUGGAAUUCCAUGUGUAGCGGUGAAAUGCGCAGAGAUAUGGAGGAACACCAGUGGCGAAGGCGACUUUCUGGUCUGUAACUGACGCUGAUGUGCGAAAGCGUGGGGAUCAAACAGGAUUAGAUACCCUGGUAGUCCACGCCGUAAACGAUGAGUGCUAAGUGUUAGGGGGUUUCCGCCCCUUAGUGCUGCAGCUAACGCAUUAAGCACUCCGCCUGGGGAGUACGACCGCAAGGUUGAAACUCAAAGGAAUUGACGGGGACCCGCACAAGCGGUGGAGCAUGUGGUUUAAUUCGAAGCAACGCGAAGAACCUUACCAAAUCUUGACAUCCUUUGACAACUCUAGAGAUAGAGCCUUCCCCUUCGGGGGACAAAGUGACAGGUGGUGCAUGGUUGUCGUCAGCUCGUGUCGUGAGAUGUUGGGUUAAGUCCCGCAACGAGCGCAACCCUUAAGCUUAGUUGCCAUCAUUAAGUUGGGCACUCUAAGUUGACUGCCGGUGACAAACCGGAGGAAGGUGGGGAUGACGUCAAAUCAUCAUGCCCCUUAUGAUUUGGGCUACACACGUGCUACAAUGGACAAUACAGAGGGCAGCGAAACCGCGAGGUCAAGCAAAUCCCAUAAAGUUGUUCUCAGUUCGGAUUGUAGUCUGCAACUCGACUACAUGAAGCUGGAAUCGCUAGUAAUCGUAGAUCAGCAUGCUACGGUGAAUACGUUCCCGGGUCU